This 497-nucleotide ribosomal RNA is filed under the name uncultured bacterium. Its description in RNAcentral is "partial 16S ribosomal RNA". It matches the Rfam family "Bacterial small subunit ribosomal RNA", at positions 28 to 507 of the family's 1533-position model. The record is from RNAcentral.
GAUGAACGCUGGCGGCGUGCCUAAUACAUGCAAGUCGAGCGAACAGACGAGGAGCUUGCUCCUCUGACGUUAGCGGCGGACGGGUGAGUAACACGUGGAUAACCUACCUAUAAGACUGGGAUAACUUCGGGAAACCGGAGCUAAUACCGGAUAAUAUAUUGAACCGCAUGGUUCAAUAGUGAAAGACGGUUUUGCUGUCACUUAUAGAUGGAUCCGCGCCGCAUUAGCUAGUUGGUAAGGUAACGGCUUACCAAGGCAACGAUGCGUAGCCGACCUGAGAGGGUGAUCGGCCACACUGGAACUGAGCCACGGUCCAGACUCCUACGGGAGGAAGCAGUAGGGAAUCUUCCGCAAUGGGCGAAAGCUUGACGGAGCAACGCCGCGUGAGUGAUGAAGGUCUUCGGAUCGUAAAACUCUGUUAUUAGGGAAGAACAAAUGUGUAAGUAACUAUGCACGUAUUGACGGUACUUAAUCAGAAAGCCACGGCUAACUACGUG